Molecule: ribosomal RNA, 443 nt
Filed under: uncultured bacterium
Lineage: Bacteria
Description: partial 16S ribosomal RNA
Rfam family: Bacterial small subunit ribosomal RNA
Source: RNAcentral
CCUACGGUGAGCAGCAGUGGGGAAUAUUGGACAAUGGGGGGAACCCUGAUCCAGCGACGCCGCGUGAGUGAAGAAGUAUUUCGGUAUGUAAAGCUCUAUCAGCAGGGAAGAAAGAAAUGACGGUACCUGACUAAGAAGCCCCGGCUAACUACGUGCCAGCAGCCGCGGUAAUACGUAGGGGGCAAGCGUUAUCCGGAUUUACUGGGUGGAAAGGGAGCGUAGACGGCGAUGCAAGUCUGAAGUGAAAGGCGGGGGCCCAACCCCUGGACUGCUUUGGAAACUGUAUGGCUGGAGUGCAGGAGAGGUAAGUGGAAUUCCUAGUGUAGCGGUGAAAUGCGUAGAUAUUAGGAGGAACACCAGUGGCGAAGGCGGCUUACUGGACUGUAACUGACGUUGAGGCUCGAAAGCGUGGGGAGCAAACAGGAUUAGAUACCCCAGUAGUC